Lates calcarifer (barramundi perch) is the source of this 216-nucleotide long non-coding RNA. RefSeq lists it as uncharacterized. The transcript is spliced from 3 exons. The record is from RefSeq and is a predicted model, not a curated record. Lineage: Eukaryota; Metazoa; Chordata; Actinopteri; Centropomidae.
AGUAAGGGGUCAAAAUUGGUCAAAAAAUGUCAUAGUAUAGUAAGGGGUCAAAAUUGGUCAAAAAAUGUCAUAGUAUAGUAAGGGGUCAAAAUUGGUCAAAAAAUGUCAUAGUAUAGUAAGGCAUGAAAAUUGGUCAAAAAAUGUCAUAGUAUAGUAAGGGGUCAAAAUUGGUCAAAAAAUGUCAUAGUAUAGUAAGGGGUCAAAAAUGGUCAAAAA